AGCAUUGCGUGGUGAUGGUCUUGUAGCCAAUGAAGCUUUAUCCAAGGCACAAUUAUUGCUAAUUAAAAACUUUUCCCAAUAUCCCGCCAUGACAAUUUGAAAUAUAGUCGGCAUUGGCAAUUUUUGAGGGUCUCUAAGGAGA
Molecule: small nuclear RNA, 142 nt
Filed under: Microcebus murinus (gray mouse lemur)
Lineage: Eukaryota; Metazoa; Chordata; Mammalia; Primates; Cheirogaleidae
Description: U4 spliceosomal RNA (ENSMICG00000047696.1)
Rfam family: U4 spliceosomal RNA
About the family: U4 small nuclear RNA (U4 snRNA) is a component of the major U2-dependent spliceosome. The structure of U4 snRNA from yeast and human has been reported.
Source: Rfam by way of RNAcentral